Molecule: ribosomal RNA, 253 nt
Filed under: uncultured bacterium
Lineage: Bacteria
Description: partial 16S ribosomal RNA
Rfam family: Bacterial small subunit ribosomal RNA
Source: RNAcentral
UACGGAGGGUGCAAGCGUUAUCCGGAUUUACUGGGUUUAAAGGGUGUGUAGGCGGACUUUUAAGUCAGCGGUGAAAUCUCCGGGCUCAACCCGGAAACUGCCAUUGAUACUAUUAGUCUUGAAUCUUGUUGAGGUAGGCGGAACGGGUCAUGUAGCGGUGAAAUGCAUAGAUAUGACCCGGAACACCGAUUGCGAAGGCAGCUCGCUACACGAAUAUUGACUCUGAGGCACGAAAGCGUGGGGAUCAAACAGG